UGUGAAGGGCAAACCGGGAGCGAUCCCGGGACGCAAAGCCACGGACCUUUCGGGUUCAUAGAGUUGCUUGGGUUCAUUGGGUUGAACCCAAAGAACCCAGAACUCAAAGAACAAAGGGACUUGAAAAGGCAGCCGGGCUGCCG
This 143-nucleotide non-coding RNA is filed under the name marine eukaryotic metagenome. RNAcentral's name for it is "Cyclic di-GMP-I riboswitch". It matches the Rfam family "c-di-GMP-I riboswitch aptamer", at positions 12 to 85 of the family's 87-position model. From Rfam's summary of the family: GEMM was predicted in a large-scale screen for bacterial structured RNA regulatory elements. The record is from RNAcentral.